UACUUUUGCGGCGCUUUCGGUUUUUUUCCGGCUUAACGGAAAAAAUUAAAAGGGAAUCCGGUGUAAAUCCGGAGCUGUCCCGCAGCUGUAAGUCCGGGUUCUAUUUUUUUAGGGCUUAGUUGAACCACCGUCACUGUCUGUAAAAAGAUGGGAAGACCUCAACGAAAGGAUGAGCCAGAAUACCUGCCAUAAGCAUUAUAUUAUU
This 205-nucleotide non-coding RNA is filed under the name Mucilaginibacter paludis. The record is from RNAcentral. RNAcentral also lists the same sequence under 1 other name. Lineage: Bacteria; Pseudomonadati; Bacteroidota; Sphingobacteriia; Sphingobacteriales; Sphingobacteriaceae.